RNAcentral lists this transfer RNA (72 nucleotides) under Heterocephalus glaber (naked mole-rat). It matches the Rfam family "tRNA". From Rfam's summary of the family: Transfer RNA (tRNA) molecules are approximately 80 nucleotides in length. Their secondary structure includes four short double-helical elements and three loops (D, anti-codon, and T loops). Further hydrogen bonds mediate the characteristic L-shaped molecular structure. tRNAs have two regions of fundamental functional importance: the anti-codon, which is responsible for specific mRNA codon recognition, and the 3' end, to which the tRNAs corresponding amino acid is attached (by aminoacyl-tRNA synthetases). tRNAs cope with the degeneracy of the genetic code in two manners: having more than one tRNA (with a specific anti-codon) for a particular amino acid; and 'wobble' base-pairing, i.e. permitting non-standard base-pairing at the 3rd anti-codon position. Lineage: Eukaryota; Metazoa; Chordata; Mammalia; Rodentia; Bathyergidae. The record is from Rfam by way of RNAcentral.
GGGGAUGUAGCUCAGAGGUAGAGCACUUGCCUAGCAUGUGUGAGGGCCUGGGUUCCAUCCCCAGCACACACA